CCUACGGGAGGCAGCAGUGGGGAAUAUUGCACAAUGGGGGAAACCCUGAUGCAGCGACGCCGCGUGAGUGAAGAAGUAUUUCUGUAUGUAAAGCUCUAUCAGCAGGGAAGAAGCCAGCCGGUACCUGACUAAGAAGCCCCGGCUAACUACGUGCCAGCAGCCGCGGUACUACGUAGGGGGCAAGCGUUAUCCGCAUUUACUGGGGUUAAAGGGUGCGUAGGCUGUGAGGUAAGUCAGCGGUGAAAUGCCCCCGCUCAACGGGGUGAAGUGCCAUUGAUACUGCCUUGCUGGAAUGCGGAUGCGGUAGGAGGAAUGUGUGGUGUAGCGGUGAAAUGCAUAGAUAUCACACAGAACACCGAUUGCGAAGGCAUCUCACGAAUCCGCGAUUGACGCUGAUGCACGAAAGCGUGGGUAUCAAACAGGAUUAGAUACCCCUGUAGUC
This 442-nucleotide ribosomal RNA is filed under the name uncultured bacterium. RNAcentral describes it as "partial 16S ribosomal RNA". It matches the Rfam family "Bacterial small subunit ribosomal RNA", at positions 338 to 795 of the family's 1533-position model. The record is from RNAcentral.